GAUGAACGCUAGCGGCAGGCUUAAUACAUGCAAGUCGAACGGGAUUCGAGGUAGCAAUACUUUGAUGAGACUGGCGCACGGGUGCGUAACGCGUAUGCAACCUACCUUUCACAGAGGAAUAGCCCAGAGAAAUUUGGAUUAAUACCUCAUAGUAUAACAUGACCGCAUGGUCGAGUUAUUAAAGUCACAACGGUGAAAGAUGGGCAUGCGUCCCAUUAGCUAGUUGGUAAGGUAACGGCUUACCAAGGCAACGAUGGGUAGGGGUCCUGAGAGGGAGAUCCCCCACACUGGUACUGAGACACGGACCAGACUCCUACGGGAGGCAGCAGUGAGGAAUAUUGGACAAUGGGCGCAAGCCUGAUCCAGCCAUGCCGCGUGCAGGAUGAAGCAUCUAUGGUGUGUAAACUGCUUUUUGUACGAGAAGAAACACUGCUUCGUGAAGCAGCUUGACGGUAUCGUAAGAAUAAGGACCGGCUAACU
RNAcentral lists this ribosomal RNA (480 nucleotides) under uncultured bacterium. RNAcentral describes it as "bacterial SSU rRNA". It matches the Rfam family "Bacterial small subunit ribosomal RNA", at positions 28 to 502 of the family's 1533-position model. The record is from RNAcentral.